Molecule: unclassified non-coding RNA, 377 nt
Filed under: uncultured Bryobacterales bacterium
Lineage: Bacteria; Pseudomonadati; Acidobacteriota; Terriglobia; Bryobacterales
Description: contains 16S-23S intergenic spacer region
Source: RNAcentral
UCCAGGUUAUCCCUGGCGGUCUCCUGCGAGUUCCCAACUUAAUGAUGGCAACACAGGACAAGGGUUGCGCUCGUUGCGGGACUUAACCCAACAUCUCACGACACGAGCUGACGACAGCCAUGCAGCACCUAUACUCACGUCCCUUGCGGGAAGUCUCUGUUUCCAAAGAUGGUCGUAAGCAUUUCGAGCCCAGGUAAGGUUCUUCGCGUUGCGUCGAAUUAAACCACAUGCUCCACCGCUUGUGCGGGCCCCCGUCAAUUCCUUUGAGUUUCAGCCUUGCGACUGUACUCCCCAGGCGGCAUAUUUAACGCGUUAGCUCCGGCACGGACCAAAUGAAUGGCCCACACCAAAUAUGCAUCGUUUAGGGCGUGGACUAC